RNAcentral lists this long non-coding RNA (8177 nucleotides) under Homo sapiens (human). RNAcentral describes it as "HSALNT0312843". Lineage: Eukaryota; Metazoa; Chordata; Mammalia; Primates; Hominidae. The record is from RNAcentral.
CUUUUUUUUUUUAACCAAAGAAAUAUAUGCUCCCUAGCAGUUACUUUACUGCUAAGAUAUUUUCACUUAGAUUUCCUACCUCUCCAUCCUCUCUCUGCCGCUUCUUUCCGUAAUUAAUAUUAUCCUUUCACGUGAAAUGUAAGAACCUCUGCGACCGCAGCAGUGGAGGGAAACCGCACAAAACGCUGUUAUUAUGCAAAUCACUGGGUUUGGAUGCCGGAUGGCUAAGGAAUCUGGGUUCACUUUUCUCCAGACCCUCUUUUUUGGAGGAGGGAGUGAGGGGGCUGUGUGGAAUGGGAGGACGAUGCUGAUUAUGAAAUAAAUGGCAAUGCAUAGUACAGGAGUGCAUGAGGACACUUUGGGUGGUGGAGGAGGCAGGGGCGGCGUGCUAGGGCUAGGUGGGCAGGGGCUGUAAGGCGGAAGAUUGUUGCUUUGAAGAGAAUAGUAUAGGGAUGUGGCUUGAGUGUGAGAUAUAGCAAGGAUGGAUGUGAAAUGAUGAUUGAUAGAAUAUUUUUUAAGCUAGGUGACUAGAUUUUUUUUCUUUGCCUGCCUCUAAUCCUUCUGUCAUUAUUUGGGUAUUUGCAGGAAAGGUAAGUUGAUCAAAUUAAUUUUUCCCUGGGUAAAAGGGAUCUGAAAGUAAGACACACGUAGACUCACUGGCGUGCAAAACCCAGUCGGCCUUUGGAGGAUUUAAAUGAGGUCAAUGAACCAUCUUUCAGCAAGUUCUUGGAAUGCAUCCUCUCUCCUGCCCUCCUCCGGGAUAUAGACUGGGGACCGAAUUUUAUUUAUGCAUAUUUAUGAAUGUGAAAAAAGAGGCGGUGGGCAGAAUUUUCCUGAAUUAACUAACUGACCUUGUAGAGAUCUUGUGUAGAAAAUUUUGGUGGUACUUUUGUGUAUUUUACGUUGGGUGUAAAUUUCAGAUAUGUCAUGUGUGCCAGAAUCUCCGUGAAGGCAGACAGCACAUUCUCCCUGCGUACACCGCCGAGUCCCAUUUCUCACCUUUCACACCCCCAUCCUCACACAAGUAACCCGGGUGUCUGACACGUUACUUAGGUUUUUAAUCCGCGCUGAGACAAUCUCACAGAGACCCUACUUCACCUCUCAGUAACUUGCAUUUCUCAGCUCUGCUGUGUGUGUGUGUAUGUGUGUGUGUGUGCGCGCGCGCGCGCCGGCGUGUGCCGUGUUGGGGGAGUGUGAUGUGGGGGAAUCAGUUAAUUUGGUGAUUGCAAUGAAAAUUCGACACCGCUAGAUGUAUUUUCCCUGCCAAUCUGUGUGUGCUGGCCCCGGCCGGUCAAUGCACACACUGCUGGGCUGCUGCGAAAUUAUUUAUUAUAGAGCAUGUGGGCCAUGGACUGCACUUGGGGUCGCCUCCUCUCUUCCUUCAACAUUUCCCUGUGAAUUGUCUAUUCAGUGCAGUGCGAAAUAACUGUUUGCUGGUGCCUCUCUCUCAGCCUGGAGGAGGAUUUACUCUUUCUCUACCCGGAGAGAUUCCAUCAGCAGCAUUCAGGCAUGAGUCUCUUUUAUUGAGUAUGUAAACCAAUGAUUAAGACAGUGCUGCUUUUCACAGCAGACUGGGGAGCGGGGGGUGCGGGGAAGGGGUGUGAGUAUAGCCGAGAAAAUGCACCACUGCAACCAGCAGCAACACCAGCAUUAGGUCCAAUAAAUAAAUAAAUAAAUAAAUAAAGGUUCUAUACAGCAACCAGGGAAAGAGCACAAGUCCAUCCAUGUCUGUGGACUUAGGAGCAUCUUAGAUCAGGCCAUAUGAAUACACUAAAAGAGAUACGAGGAUUUAAAAAAAAAAAAAAGAAAGAAAGAGGAGGGGGCACAAAGCACCACUGGAUUGUCUUCUCAUGUUUAUGGCUGCCUCACAUUUAUUCAUCAAACACUGCUCCACAGACACAUCAUAGUUUGUUGAUAUUGUCAGUUUUUGCUCAAAUUGCUCAUGCCUUCCUUGUCUUAGGCUUGGCUGAGAACAUUGUUUCGGGGUUCAGAUUUAUGUUUCUUCCCCUACCCUACUGUUUUAUUAGGACUUGGUUAGGUUGUAAAAUGAAGGCUUUAUUUUCUGGACAUAGAUUAAAUACUUAGCGGGUCUUUCUAUGUGCGGGGAGAAAAGGGUGGCGGGGGAACUAGUGAGCGACUGAUUUUGGCUAGAGGGAGUCUGCCCUGCCUGCUAGUAGUUAUGACUAGGCAAAUACUAUAGUCAGUCAUUAGCUUCUUUUUUUUAGCUUUAUCAGCACUAUAGUGAUAUUCACUUAAGUAAUACUAAUCAGUUUAUUUAUCCCAUGUAUUACUAUUCUCUUUCUUUCAGUAUCAUUAUUAAAGACAAGAAGACUCAUUUGAACAUAUCUUCUCCAUGUUUCUGUGUUUUAACUGACUGUAUUUUAUAUUAUCACCUAUAUUUUUUACCUUUUUUCUGGGAAGCAAAAUCAAUUUUCUGGCUUGUUAAUAUGUGGAGUGAUAAGCCAGUGGUGAGAAUCUAGUCAAUGAUAAAAUGAGUUUUUUUUAAAAGGCUUACUUAAUUCUAUAACAUCUGCCAGUUUGUCCUCAUCCUCAUCGUGUCUUUAGGAAAUGAAUAAUAGAUAGGGAAUAAACAUAUGCUUUUGGCUAAACAUUUGUUUGGCCAAAGUAUAACUUGGAAUGUAGGCUACUUAAAUAGCAAAAUUUCAUUUGGUGUUCAGUUACAAUGUGUCUUUUCUUAUUUUCCCUCAUCAUAGAAAGAGGAAAAUCUGGAGUAAGCGCAAGGGACACAUUACAGAAAUGAAUUUCUUUGCAAGGAAAGCUUGCCACCUGUAACUAAGUCCUCUCUUGGCUAUACAGUAGAUCCAGUUCAAUUGCUAACCCUUGCUGAAACCUUAUGCCUUUCCAUGCCUGAGGGGGCACUGCAAAGAUGGAGAGAAUGCCCUGGGUAGCACAGGAAACAAUUCUGGAAAGGGCAAAAAAGAAACAAGGGCAAAAUAUAACAAGAAAUAAUCAUGCAUACAUGCAUACAAGACCUCAUUUUGUUGAGAACUGUGUUUACUUUUUGGAAUUAGUCGUAUAAAAAAGCACCUCCAAGACAGAUACUGGGGCUUUAGGUUUUUUUGUUUGUUUGUUUGUUUGUUUUUUGCCGUGGUAUAUUCUGGUAAAUUAUUUGUUACAUUUAGUAAAAAUAUAACACAAGCACAAUUUAAUUUGAAUAUACAUUCAAAUUAAAUCUCAUUGGACGUACAUAAUACUUGCCUCAGUAUCUGUCAUGAACCUCACCUUACAUUUUUAGAAAGCACAUUAUAAUACAUCUUAUAUACACUUAAUGAAAUACUUACGCUUCCUAAAAGCAUAUCUUUCCAACUAUUUUACCUUUACAUGUGUUAACUUUAGUCUUGGCAAGCUCAUUUCUUAUGCCAAGUGCAAUUCUGUUGUAUCAAGAAAGGCAUCUUCUGCAAAUUCCUUGUGUAAAGAGGUGGGUGAGGAUUAACCUAGAGCUGUGGCAGCUGAAGCCCCCUGCUGUGUGAUGAUGCAAAUGGCAUCUCAGGCCUAAUGUGCUCUGCAGAGGCCACAAACUCACAGGAAAGCAGUCAUGUGGCAUGAGAGUGAAAUGGGAAGUCUUUUUCAUAGCUUGUAGUGGACAUAAAACAUCCUUUAGCUUUUUAUAACCAGAAAUGAUCCAGAGUAUUUGUAAUCACAUGAGGUUAUGACAAAGCAAAAGAGAGAACAUAUAUUUUGUUUAGAGAUGAAUAAAAUCCUACUAAAACUAUCAACAUUUUCAUCCAAUGAAUGGUGAACAUUUAAUUUUCUUCCAAACUAUCGGGAACAUAGGUCAGUUUAAUGAAGAUGAAUAGCAAAAUUAAAAUAGGAUUUCCAUGCUAUUUUUUACGUGUGUUGGACUUAAUAACUGUUGGGCUGGGAAGCAUUCUGUUAUCCAGUUCUUCCUUCAGUGAGUAAGGAGUUAGUCCUUUAAUCUCAUUCUUAUUAGAGCAUUUCCUGUACUAUGAAAAUAUAGCAGUUUCUUUACAAAAUAGGAGUUAACUGUUCAGUGUCUCUUCAGUUUAUUUAGUGUUGUCAAGUAUAAUUUGUGUUAUGUCACAUCAAUAGAGAAUGUUUCCUAUCUGCACAAUAUUAUUUAUCACAUAGGCAAAGUCAUCUGAUAUGUUCUCUAAAAAUGUAAGAGUUAUAAACCCACUGUUAUAGCAUUAAACCCUAUCAGAUAAAAGGAACUAACGUAGCUUUGUAUAUUUUGAUUCCAUUUGCCACAGAACAAAAAACUGAACAUGUUAUACAUACUGAUUUUUACUAAGUAGUGAGCCCAGUUGGUCCUGUUAAUGUGUUCAGUGGAUUUCCUUAAGCAUAUACGAAACCGUUUUCAUCUUAGAAGCAUGCAGCCUAUUUAAAAAUUAGUGAAGUAAAUAUUCUGCUUAAGUAGGGAUCAGUUAAAUAUUAAUGUCAAAAUCAGAGAUGUAAUUAUUGAGUAUGGAAAUAUUCCACAGUCACUUAUUUAUAUAUAUGCACAUAUAUACACAUUUAAGUAUGUCAUUAUUUUUAAGACUGAAGAACAUCUUUAUUAAUUUUGUAAUUAGAGUUUAGGGCUUUCAGGGAUGUAUAAUAGAAUGAUGGAAAAGUUAAGAGUUUGUUUUGUUUUUACUCAUUGUGUUCUUUUACUCUUUCAAUUAAGGUUAAGAAUUUUAUUUUUUUUUAAAGUAAAUUUUCUCAGGCUGCAACAACGAUUAACAAGACUUCCACAAAAAAACACACACACAAGUCUUACAAUUUAUGAAAUAACAAUAGGGUUGAGUAUUCUGCAUCUAUCUUUGUGCUUAUGAAACUGAGUGAUAAGAACUUGUUACUACUUGAAUAGAUACAGAGCUAAGUUAGUAAGAUCUGCCAUAGAGAGAGGGGGCCAUUAACUAUUCACAUUAUAUUUUAGAGGUCUUUGAAGUAAAUAUUAACACAGUCAUUGUUCAAUUUUGGAAACAACUCUUUCUGAGUCAGCAAAUCAUUUUCACUUGAAUAUUUAAAUUAUCUUUCAGCCAUUUCAUUGUUGAAGAGGAAGUCCCUGUCUAGUCAUAGUUAAGGAGUUUUUCCAGGGGUUAAAUACUGAUGUCAUUAGGCAUUGCUUAGAAAAUAAAAAUAAGCAUACUUUUGCUUUCAGAAAAAAAAAUCUCAAAGCUAAAUGUGAUCAAAUAGUGCAAAUAAUUUCACAUUAUAAGAAAACAAAGUCCUUUAAAAAGUCAAAUUGAGUUUCUAAAAAUUUUAUAUAUUUUAUGAUGGUUAAUUUACAGUAAGGAUACAUUGCUUAUCUAAAGUUGUCCUUGAGAACAGAAUGAGAACAUACCUUUCCUGACAAAGAUAUGCUGCCGACUGCUAAGUGUAUAGCUGUUAUAUUGAUUUGCUAUAAUUUAUAAAGCCAAUUAAUUUAUUAUUGUAAGGAAAUAUUUUUACCUUUAGGCUAAAAUUGUUUGUAUUCUAAAAUGCAGGUGCCUUCCAUAAUGCUUAUUUAAACAUCAAGGCCUAAAAUUUAUAGUGUGUAAAAAAAGUCCUAAUUUUCUUAAUAAAUUCAUAUUUUAUAUUAACUUCUCCUGUAUCCCCCAUGGGGGAAAGUGUCCAUGACAUUCAUAACUUCCGUUCAUUCUGAUACCUUUUACAUCUCUUGUUUUUCAAUCUGGAGUUGUAGGCUUAAGUUUAAAUGAGAAAUAAUGUAUUAUGAAUUAGAAUAUUUAUAUGUAAAAGCAAAGAAAAAUAUAUAGUAAGCUUUUUAUUUAAUUGCCAUUUCUUUACUGCUCUCUAUUUUAUGUGCUGAAGUCCGAAUAGUAACUCGGCUUCCUUUAUACUCUCCAGGAAUAUAAUAUCCCUCCCAUUCCCUGCCCAUGCUACUGACUUGAAAGAUCCAUUAAAAUAAAUUAAUGGGGAAUGAAGAAUAAAGAAGUGUUUUGCUAAAGGAUAUGUACAGAAUAUGUACAGAUUGGGUGUUUUUCCUUUCAACCCCCAAGGAGCACACCCCAGCGUUUUAGCAAGGAUAAAACAUGUGCAAUGUGUAUUGACUUGUUUUUGUUAUUGUUACUAUUGCAUUUUUUUGAAAGCUCCAUUCCGUAAUCUCUUAAUAAAAAUGGCAAAAAGAAGGGGAAAGGAAUGUGAGUCAGCCAGCCAAACACACAGAGAAAGGCCUGGCAAAGCUGCCUAAAUUAGCAUAUGCUAGGCUGAGUAUUUCCCUCUGUUGUUACAUAAUCCCUUUCUAAUACGAAAUCAGUUCUCAUACUUAACCCUUUCAGGAGGUUUGGAAUUCUCCCACUGUUAUAUUUUUAUUUUGCUUCAUUUAUUUUCUCAUGAAUUGUGUAAAUCAUCUAUUCAAGGGCUUUUAUGUCAAGUUCUUUUUUUCCCUCUCCAGCCCUUCUGUAUACAAAUGUUCCAUUCUGUGUCCAACUUCAGGAUUCAAGAAUCAACUUUUCUAUAGCUUCCACUGAGAGGAUCUAAUUAGCAUUUUAGUCUCCCUUUACUCAUGUGCAGCUUUCUUUAGAAAAUGUAUUAGUUCUACGAGGUUCCCCUAAGGAUUCAUAAUACUCUAGUUUGUUACAUGUUCUGUGAUAUUCAAUGUGCCUUAAUUAUGCACGUGUCCUCAUUUCAAAGCCUUUUCAGGGAUCAUGUGGGAUAGAACAGGGGUCUGGCUGUAAGUUCACUGUCAUGUAUUAAUGUGUAGGUGGUAUUCAGAGAAGGAUGUUUCUGAAGGCAAUUAUAUAUCUAUGACUCCAAUAUAGCAAGCAGUUACUCACAUUCUGCACUUACUAGUUAUCCUGCCAAGGCAGAAUUAAAUUCACCAUUGUGAUACAUAAUACAGUAUCUGUUAUUUCUAAAUAACAGAUACUGCUCUAGGAUUGAAAUAAAAUAAUGAGUGAAAAUGUGUAUCCCCUACCCUGAAUAGGGAUUGUUCCUUUCACUUUCCCAAACAAAAAGAAGAAUCAGAAAUUGUUCCUAAGUCAAUACUCUAUUCCUUAACUAGCCCAUUAACACAUCUUGCUAUGGUGGGAUCUUGAAGUUUUGCUGGUUUUUAUGUGAGGCUGUAGAUAUUUAAGCAGUAUUAAUUGCCUGCAAUCUUUAUGGACUGCCAAAUAUCAGUGCAUUGCCAAAUUUGAGACAUUUUAUUUUCGGGUUUUAAUUUGGAUGCAAUUUGAAUACUGGUGGAAGUAUAGAGAGACGCUGAACUCAACAGAGAGAGACAGACAUCUUUUUCUUAAAGAGACUUCAAUUGUGGAGAGAUUGCUAUAAGAAUUGGCUUGUUUUGUAUGUGUUAUCACUUAACAAGGGGGAUACUUUCUUAUAUUACAUGAGUAUGAGAGUGCAUUUGUCUUAAUUGUACCCUUUGACUUACAUGUCUUCCUCUGUGUCUUAUGUCAUAAGAAAAUGGUGGUUUAAUUUGUAACUGCAACUUGUGUCUUUUAUUCUUUUAUUUAUGCUUAUGGCAAUAAAAAGCGUUUUAUAAGCUGAUAUAAUAAAUAUGUUUUGACAAUUUUUGUUUGAUUAUUUUACACAAUAGCAUAAUUUUUGAAGCUAUAGUUUUAGUUUUAGUAGACAAAAGAAUGCCAUCUGCCCUCUAUUGAUUAUUUUAAGCAUUUAUGUGUUCUUAUUUCAUGAGAGAACUGAGCAUUUGAUUUUGUCUAUUCUGUGAUCUAUAUAAAACUUCGUAUAUUAUUAUUAUAGUAUUUUGACUAAUCGAAUGUCUGGUCUAUCUUUUUUUUUAAUGUUUUCAUUCCACUGAUUGAUUAGUUUUCUUCUAAAAGAUUUAAUCUUGACACAACUCUUUAAUUGGAUCUAGAUAAUAUUUAAGUAUUUACAUUAUAACUGCCAAAAUGCCAAUACAGUACUCCAAAUAGAAUAAAUAUUUGCAGUGACUUUUCAUUUAUAUGUAAUACACAGGAAGAAGACAGAAAUGCACCCCAAGAAACAAAAAUAAUACUAAAUAAUGGUGUACUUAACAAAAAUAUGAAUUAAUUGCUUUCAGUCAGGGUAGUCAAUUCAAAUUUGCACUGUAAACAUUUAUUUGAAUCUUCCCGAUAUCUUUGGGUAUUUAACCCCUUAUCUUUAAUCUACUUUCUAAAGAUUUUAUUUCUAGCUUCAAAAAUAUUCCUGAUGAUGACUUUGGUUAAACGUGAAGCCACAUUAUCUUCUUGUUCUACUUUGAGUAGCUGGCAUUUCCGGAUAAAUGUAUAAAC